AUCAGUUGGGGUUUUAUGAACAUAGAGUCUGACUCAUCCGCCUCAGAGUGGGGCCUGAGAUUCUGCAUUUCUAAUGAGUUCCCAGAUAAUGCUGCU
Molecule: microRNA precursor, 96 nt
Filed under: Echinops telfairi (small Madagascar hedgehog)
Lineage: Eukaryota; Metazoa; Chordata; Mammalia; Afrosoricida; Tenrecidae
Description: miRNA (ENSETEG00000026619.1)
Source: RNAcentral